UGCGAUUUUUGCGAAUUACCUCCAUAUGAAAACGUUACAUCUGUCCACACAGAAAACUGCAUCUCCUCAAACCUGUCGAUAGUACCCGAACUACAUUUAGUCACUCAGUAAAGUGAUAAAUCAAAAUAUCAUUGUCAACAGAACUGCAGAAAUUGCCACUGCUCAUUAGACCGUUUUCGUCGGAGGAGAGACACAGUUCUGGCUCUGAUUACUGGUUGCUGUACGUAUCUAUCCACAUCAAGGCUGUUAAGAGACUCGUGAAGAUUCAAGACAGCUCUUAAAGGAUUUUUGCAGCUUAAAAGUGACAUAAUUGUGAAAUAAGUGUGUAGAUGAGUGAUUAAACUGUGUUUUAUUGAAGAUGUUGUGCGAU
Molecule: long non-coding RNA, 370 nt
Organism: Schistocerca gregaria
Lineage: Eukaryota; Metazoa; Arthropoda; Insecta; Orthoptera; Acrididae
Exons: 3
Source: RefSeq, a predicted model, not a curated record